GUCUCUUAGAAAUUAUUAAGAGUCAGGCCUGCCCAGUGAUUGCUUUUUAACGGCCGCGGUACCCUGACCGUGCAAAGGUAGCAUAAUCAUUUGCCUUUUAAUUGGAGGCUGGUAUGAACGGUUUGACGAGAGUAAAGCUGUCUCACACACAUUAAAUAAAAACUAAUUUAAAGGUGCAAAAGCCUUUAUAAAACAAAAAGACGAGAAGACCCUGUUGAGCUUUAAUUUUAAUGAGCAUCCACUUUAUAUUAAUAUAACUCAUUCGCUCAAUAAAAAUUUUAAUUGGGGCGAUUAAGGAACACAAUGAAGCUUCCUGACUUUAAUACUAAAUAUUUAUAAAUUAAAUCGAUCCAGCAAUGCUGAUCAACAAAACGAGUUACCACAGGGAUAACAGCAUAAUUCUUUUUCAGAGCUCAUAUCGAAAAAAGAGAUUGUGACCUCGAUGUUGGACUAGGGUAACCAGAAGGUGGAGCAGCUUUCUUGCUUGGUCUGUUCGACCAAUAAUUCCCU
RNAcentral lists this ribosomal RNA (510 nucleotides) under Theodoxus cf. heldreichi AFS-2019. RNAcentral describes it as "partial 16S ribosomal RNA". It matches the Rfam family "Bacterial large subunit ribosomal RNA", at positions 1828 to 2597 of the family's 2925-position model. The record is from RNAcentral. Lineage: Eukaryota; Metazoa; Mollusca; Gastropoda; Cycloneritida; Neritidae.